Molecule: small nuclear RNA, 107 nt
Organism: Jaculus jaculus (lesser Egyptian jerboa)
Lineage: Eukaryota; Metazoa; Chordata; Mammalia; Rodentia; Dipodidae
Source: Ensembl
GUGUUCACUUCAGCAGCAUAUAUACUAAUACUGCAAUGAUACAGAAAAGAUUGGCAUGGUACCUGUGCAAAGAUGGCGGGAAAAUUCAUGAGGCACUCCAUAUUUUU